Molecule: long non-coding RNA, 907 nt
Filed under: Phaseolus vulgaris (common bean)
Lineage: Eukaryota; Viridiplantae; Streptophyta; Magnoliopsida; Fabales; Fabaceae
Description: long non-coding RNA (PVUL_LNC000359)
Source: RNAcentral
UACAUUACCUUAAAUGAUCCAAAAGUUACGCCCUUUUUCCGAUUAGUCAACUGAGCCAUCAUGAGUUUGUCAUAUGCCUUUUCCAGAUGAAUUAUACAUUCACAGCGCACAACAUCCCACACAUUAGUGCAUUAAAAUUUGACCUCUUAAAACAUGUCAUGUGUCAGUAUCACAAUACCAAUUUUAAUGUUUUGCCAAUUUCAAUUUUCAUCAUAACAUCUAUUUUGUCAAUUAGAAGUUUGGAUGGCCAGGUCCUAAAAAUUAGCAAAGCUAUAAUAACUAACUAGUUACAUAAGAGGGCACCAGAUGGACAUACAUACCUUAACGAUGGAAUCUUGGACAACCUGUCAAGCAAUAUCUAGUCUAGAAUACAUCAGAGAGACAACUAAUUUCAGUUUAUGGUUUAAUUCCUCCUCAUAUUCUUAAUUGAUAUUGCCAACAACAUUCAUGGUACCUAUGAAAUAUGCAAACAGGUUUGAGUAGUCAAUUUUUAAGGUUGUGCACAAGCCUUUCACUAAUUUGGUAGAAGCUUCCCUACUCAUUACAUGUUUAGAUACUAUUGUUGGAAUCAAAAUCAUAACUUUUUGCAUAAAGAAGUUCUAAAAUUUCAAGGUUGAUUUAUGUUUUAUGUUACCCGUUUCGAAUGAAUUCAUGGAUGCCUAUUAAGUCAAGAUGCUGUCACAUUAAGAAAAUUUUUAAAAAAACAUCAAACUCAAAUUGUAUUCAAUAAAUGAAUUGAAAUUUAAAUGAUGUUGCUUGUGUCUCACCUCAGCUAAAAGUUGGUCAGCAAAUAUUCUUGCUAUUGGUGAAUUAACUUCACGCAUAUGAGCAAUUGGGGAAAGCUUUGCAGCUGAUCUCAACAUGUUGAACACUUGUCCUCCAGAUAAAGUAGUAAAAGCCAUUAAGG